AUCAGUUGGUAGCCGAUAAAGCUCAGAGUGAUGUUGGUCGUCUCGUAUCCAUCUAUGAAGAGGCCGAGAACAUGUGCGGCAAGUGCCUGUGCUGAACCAAGUACUUUUCGCCACACAUCUGCUCGAUGCAACUAAAUGACAGCUUCAGCUUCAUGCCGCAGAAUGCAGGAGUAAAACGCUUCCUGGACGUGUGCCACACGUUGCCAAUUGAGAAGAAAGGAUUCAAUGUGAGAAGUGGAACAUCACCAACCACAUAUUCUCGAAUCUCGGAAGAAUGCCCUGUGUGCACGCGAUGCCCCGAUCGUGGCAGUAUUUGUAGUUUCUAGUUAGGUAAAAACACCAUGUCACUCCAUAAUUCUCCUAAGGAUCAUGAAAAGAAGAAUAAUGUUGAGCAUGAUGUCGGCAGUAAGAAAUUGGUACAUUAAACAACAAGAAUACGAUUCGUGCUUGAAUUAUCGCCGACAGCUAGGCUGAUAAAAAAGAUUUUACUCUUGUAGAAGUUAUCUCCUAUCAAUGUAUAUUUACGUACUUAUUGCGCAGAACAAUAUUGCAAAAUAAUGUUUCCUUGGUAUGGAUACUGUGAUAAACUUUUCACAUUGGGUCAUUUUUUCAAAAACGUUAAUAACGCCAAUAACAAGCUUUAAAAUAUCUGUAAGUAUUUUAAAGUGCAACUUGAAUAUGUUCUAAUAAUUUUUUAAGAGUUGCAAAAUGUGGAAUAUAUUAUGCAAAAAUUCCCCAUCUUUAAACGUAAUAUAAUUAAAUUCUAAAAAUAUAUUAUAAAUAUUAAUAAUAUUAUGUUAUACUAUAAAUAGAAAUUAUUAUUAUAUUUAUAUAAGGUAAAAUUAUAAAAUUCCAGAUACUUAAUACGAAUAAUUUUGCAGUGAUUUAGUUUCUUAUAUGACGUCAAAUUGUAGAAUCCUACCAUGCUGUGAAUCCGUUGUCGUAAUAGAUUUUGCAACAGUAUUCGGAGGAAGACGUUUGCGUAUAGAAUCCCAACCUGUGACCAACUGCUAAAGAGCUCCAUUAACGCAUGGAAUUCCAUGUUUCUGUCAGUAUUUGUAAUUAUGCGUUAAAUAUAGAUACAGUGUUAUAAGCGUUCCAAAGAUCGGGAACGUCAGCAUGAAUAUCUUGUUUCUCUCUGGUGAGCAACGGAGCAGAAUUAUAUAAGCCGACAGCCUUGACCAUAUAUCAUGCGUGCCUGCGAAUAGAAGUAUUGUGCGGGAGCAUCGAUUACCAGACUAACGUGCACUAUGACCAUGAAGUUAUAUAGUUCACAGAGUAUAUUUCACUAAGAUUUAAGUAAACAGUUUUACAUACACACAUAAUUGCAAGAUAAUGAUCAAAUUAAUUGUAAAUUUUAGCUAAAACGUUGUAUUUUUAUAAGCUAUAAUAAUAAAGUUUUAGAUUGAUUAAUUAAUGUGUCAUAAAAAAGAUGUGAUUAAGUAAUGAGUCAUAAAAGAGCUAUAAUGAAAUAUUUUAAUGAAGACGUAAUUAAAGGAAAUUAUUUUGGAAAAUAUCUGAUUAAAUAUAAAUUUCUGUUUAUUUAAAUGUUAGAUGUAACUUAUAAAAAAUUCAUCAAGAUUAUUUAAUUCCUUACUUACUAAACAGAUCUUACAUAAAUGUAUAUAAAUUUACAUAGAAGAUUAUAGAUUAUUACAUUUUCUUAUCGCUAUUUACUGUUACGACAGAUGCAUUUCACAGAUAACAAGGUAAGAUACGUACACACAUAUGAUAACUCUUAAUCUUAUAUAUAAUUUUGUUGGCUCCCCUUAGGGUUACAAUUUUUCACAUUCUCCACCGCAAACAUAAACUAACUCUUAAUCUUAUUAUUAAGCUUAAGUAUAAAAAGGCAAUACUCUAUCUACUUCAAUAAAAAUUAUAUGGAUAUUUAUAUUUUGUAUUCUAUUUAGUGCUGCGUAUAAAUCAAUUUUAAACAAUUUGGGAUUUAAUUCAAACCGAAAUUUUCAAAAAGCACAUAUACAGCUCUUUCUUAUACCUAAAUAAAGAAUACUCUAAUAUAAAUUUGCAUUACCAUGAAAAUUCUUUUAUGAUAUUAAGGCAAUUUAUUGCGCGCAGGUGCGGUCAUACAUGCUGUUUGUAAAUUACUUACUAAGUAAUAAUUGACAAUUGUAUUAUCCAAUUAUGUAUUCCAACUUUCUACAAAAAAAGUAAUCUACAAAAA
RNAcentral lists this long non-coding RNA (2182 nucleotides) under Ooceraea biroi (clonal raider ant). Its description in RNAcentral is "uncharacterized LOC113562529". The record is from RNAcentral. Lineage: Eukaryota; Metazoa; Arthropoda; Insecta; Hymenoptera; Formicidae.